Molecule: long non-coding RNA, 4292 nt
Organism: Vombatus ursinus (common wombat)
Lineage: Eukaryota; Metazoa; Chordata; Mammalia; Diprotodontia; Vombatidae
Exons: 2
Source: RefSeq, a predicted model, not a curated record
UCUCCGAAGCUGAGCUCCCUUCGACCCUUGAGGGCGGCCGGUCGGCAGGGGCAAAGGGGGUUCCCUACAGUGCUCAGCAGGGGCGCCCCACCCACAAUGCACCCGGAGGAGGCGAGAGCGGUGUGGACUGGGAGCCGCGCGGAUAAUCCCUUUGUGAAAAAUAACUCCGAAACAGUGGAAAGAGCACUGGAUUUGAAGUCAGAGGACCUGGGUAUGAAUCCUAGUUCUCCUAGUUCCUGUAUAACCUUGGGCUCAUUUUGUCAUCUGCAAAAUGGGAGGAGGUAAUUUAGAUGAUUUCUAAAGUCCUUUUUAUUCCUAUGCUCCUAUGAUUGUGAACAACUAGAAAGCCAGAAGUGGUUCCGUAUAGAAACAAUCUUUGCUUCAAGAUAUUAUGUGGUCGAAAGAUAUAGAUGUGUUAAAAGAAGCAUGGGCUGAUAGAUUCUUAGUUUCUAGUUGUCCCCUUAUUCUCCCUCCAGCACUUCUAGCUUCCGAUUCUGGGCAGAUUCCUUCCCCUCUCUGAGACUCUGUUUAUCCAUCUAGAUGCUAGACUAGGUAGAUGGUCUUUUAAGACCUUUUCUAACUCUAAGGUCCCUUCUGACUGAAGUUACAUGGUUCUUAAUAGUUUUGCCCCAGCAUUGGGGAAAGAUAACAGUGGAUUUCAUGUAUCCUUGAGUCUUCAUGCAAGUAAGAUUUGUAUUGAGAACUUAAAAACUCUUUGAAGCCUCUCAGGCAGCCCCAGAACCCCUGUAAACAGAAGUACUUAUCCAGGUCCAGCAGAAUCCUCACCUGCCCAAACCCAAGACUGUAAAAGAGGGUGAGAGGCCCUGGCUAGAGUAGUGACAUCUUAGACAAAAGUGACCCAAACUAAACCUAAUACAGUGGAGCUUAUGUGAUGGAGACAGUGAGGUUGAGUCGGGGCUUCUUUUUGCAUUUUCCAGAUAUUCCUCAGAAAUAUCAUUCAGAUCAACAAGCAAUAAGUACCUGCUAUGUGCUCACUUUCUGGGAGAAAUUAAGAAUUGCUUUGGGAAGCUUGUUGAAGGAACAGAAAAGACUUGAUCAGGCAGAAAUGAGGAGAAAAGUGUAGGCCAGUCUAGUCAUGGGAGGUUGAUGAAUAGAGGAGGUAAGAGAGAGAGAAGGAUCAGAUUAGAGAAAGGUGGUCUAGUUUGGCCAAAAUAUAGUGUAUGAAGAGAAAUAAUAUUUAAAAGUCAGAAAGGGAAGGUUUUAAUUCGAUUUUUGAGGGCCUUGGAUACAAGGUUAGGGAGUUUGGAUUUUAUGCUGUGAACAAUAGAGGGCCUCUGAAAGUUUUUUCAGUAGGGAGUAAAUCGACCAGACCUGUGUAUUAGAAAGAUAAAGUAUCACUGGACCAAUGACAUUUCAGCUUCCUUUAGGAGCUAAACACAGUGGAUAAUUCCUUUGAUUUCCUAAAAACAGUUAACUUCCUAAAGGCAGAAGAAUUAAACUAAGUGAUGGUCUAAGGUGUCCCCCAGGUUCCAGAUCUUAAGCAUGGCAGGAAAAUCACUAGCAUUCAGGAUGAACAAAGCCUCCCAUCUGGUCAGGUGAAUUCUGGGAGAAUCUGAAUCAGAUGUCAUCUGGUGAAGAAUAGGCUGUCUGCUCUAGGACCAGCACAGUACCAAGAUGGAUGAUGGGAAUCAGACUUCUGACAUGAAGAAGGAAAAGAAGGGUCUAUGCCCUGUAUAGGGAUGUUUUUUCCUUUCCAUGUGAGUAAUGAUUACAUCUUGCAUCAAGGCGUGCCCCUUCCCGGGUCUGGGAACACAUCUGGGCAAACUGGCUAAGUGACAUUCAUAUCCAAAUAGGGAAAUGGGAACAGAGCCAACAAGCCUUCACUGACAGCAGUGGAGGAGGGGCCUCAGUGGUGUCACGGAGAAUGGGGGUGGGGGAGUGCAGGCCAGAAGAGGAGACCUUGUGUUGCUUUUGUGACCUUGGAUUCUAUAGGAAAUACCACUUCUGGGGGAAGUGGGGUGGAGCACACCAACCCAGUAAUAUCAACACAGAAAGGUUGCGUGCAAUUUUUAGAACAGACAGCCACGUAAAGUCCCUAAAUGAUAGUGGCAGUUCAGGUGUGCAAAACGGUCGUCCAGGUCUGGCUUCCUCUCUGGGGUUAACACCCCUCUACCAUCAUACUUGGUUGUCUCCUCAGAUUAUUUUGAAGGAUAAUUUGAUUUUAUAGAUUAUUUUGAAGCACAAUUUGGUUUUCCCAAACAAUUUGAGGCCCUCAGAUGCAUAUUAGUAAUUCACUGAAACCUGUGAUAAUUGUUCAGAUGACAUUGGGUCACAUAGGUAAAGAAUGAUGAUGUGUCUAUUUUUUUUUUAAGAAAUCUGAAAACACUGAAAUCUAAAAUCAGCCAGAACCUUAGAAACAACCAGAAGUCCAGAUAUUAAUUUAAGUACCCUUUUGCUUUCCCAGGAUAGUCUUAAAUAUUAAAUUACCCUAAGGUGAUGUUGGGAACUGAAAUUAGAUUUAUUAGAUAUUAUAGGCUUAAGUGGUAGCUGGAGUAGGAAGAUCAUGGAAUAUGACCCUAAUACAAGGUUCAAGAAUUCCUAGGCACUACUAAGAAAUAAUUAUUUGGGCAUUCAUAAGCCAAAACCAAGAUAUGAUCACUAUUUAAGAGAGAAUCACUUCACUGAGUCUCAGUUUCCUUGUUUGUAAAAUAGGUAUACUAUCUAUAAGUUUGUCCUAAAAAUGACACCCCCUCCCAUUCCCAGAAAAGGUAAAAUAUAAAAUAUGUCAGUUUAAAGAAAAAGAAUUCAUCUUUCAUGGUUCAGAGAGAGGUAUUUUUUUUUCUAUACUACUUCAAAAUGGGGAGAAGAGUAUUGGAUAAUGGGACAGAAAUGUUUGAACUUUUGUUUCCAGUUCCUUCUUUUAGGAUAUUUCCUUAUCUAUGAAAUGAGGAAAUUUUAUUAGAUUAGGGGUUCUUAACCUUUUGCGUGUUAUAGAACCCUUUAGCAGUCAGAUGAAGCCUAGGGACUCCUCUGAGUAAUAUUUUAAUGCAUAAAAUAAAAUGCAUAGGAUUACAAAAGAAACCAAUUAUAUUGAAAUAAAUGUAAUCUUUUUCUUCUUCCAAGUUUAUGUAUCUCCUGAAAUCUCUCCAUGCAUCUCAGGUUAAGAACCCCAGAUUAAAUUAUCCUACUCUAGUUGUCAUAGCCCUCCCUCCCUUGAGCUAAUGUUUUAUUGCCUGUAACACUCAUUUUUCAUUUAAUCACAUAUGAGACUUAUUAUUAUUGAGGCUGUUUUAUCUAAUUUUUCUGUAUGUCUUGCCCUCUCAGAUGUAUCCGUACCCCACAGCAUCAAGCAUAGGAUUAGACACAUAGGGAGUGGGAAGUAAUAAAGCUGACAUGGGUCUGAGAGAUCCUCUAGCCUUCCCCCUUUCCCAUAUGAGAAAAACAGGGUGAUUUGCCUAAUGUCACACAGUAGUACAAGAUCUGUUCUGAUUUCCCCCUCACUUGCUAGUGUCCUCAAAACUACACACACACACACACACACACACACACACACACACGUCCCCAGUUACUUUGUAUAGAUUUUAUGUUUACCUGCAUGUCCUCCCUACCCCCAAUAGAAUGUCUUCCUCAGCACCUAGCACAGUGUCUGGCAAAUAAUAAAUGUUUGGUGACUGAAAGAAUACAGUUCAAACCCAGGUCAUUGGAUUCCAAAUCCAGGGUUUUUGCCACUGUACCAGACCUCCCUCAGUGAAUUGAAAAAUCAAAAAGUUUGAACUGUCCGCAGUCUUCUCCUUGACACAGAUAAUUUAGAAUUGACUGAUUUGAAUCUGGAAAUUCAGCCUGCCUGACUUAAGAGGUAGUGAUUACUUGGCAUCCACAGAUUCGUCAAAGUUGUUAAAUAGAUCCAAAAGUUAAGUCUAAUGCUUACUUAGACCAGUAGCGUUUUUCCCUGAAACUCCCUUCUGUUAUUGUUGACAAAGAUCUGCUGGCUUCUACAUUGUAUCUGUCUCUUUGGUGGACUUCAGAAGUCCCCUAAAAGUUGUUACCUACUUGUAUUCAGUAGCAUAGGAAUGAUUUUCAUGAUUUAAUGAGAGAAAUUUACAUUCUCAUAGCUAUAAUCAGCUCUGGCAAAAGUUUCCUGGCCUCCAUUUUAAAUCUGUUCUGGUCAUUAUUCCGAGUAAGUGGCCAUCAAGUAGUUCCACACAGCUCCCCCUACCUUCCUGGCUCUGACCCAAACAGGAGCCCAAGCUUUCCUCUUUCCAAAACUGCCUCUUACACUGCCUCGGAUCAUUUCAAGUACUCUUGCCAAUUUCAAAAAAAAAAAAAAAAAA